This 301-nucleotide ribosomal RNA is filed under the name uncultured bacterium. RNAcentral's name for it is "partial 16S ribosomal RNA". It matches the Rfam family "Bacterial small subunit ribosomal RNA", at positions 509 to 807 of the family's 1533-position model. The record is from RNAcentral.
CAGUAGCCACGGGAACACGUAGGGGGCAAGCGUUAUCCGGAAUUACUGGGUGUAAAGGGAGCGUAGACGGUUAAACAAGUCUGAAGUGAAAUGCCGGGGCUCAACCCCGGAGCUGCUUUGGGAACUGUAGAACUGGAGUGUCGGAGGGGUAAGCGGAAUUCCCAGUGUAGCGGUGAAAUGCGUAGAUAUUGGGAGGAACACCGGCGGCGAAGGCGGCUUACUGGACGACAACUGACGUUGAGGCUCGAAGGCGUGGGUAGCAAACAGGAUUAGAUACCCCAGUAGUCCCUGUCUCUUAUAC